Molecule: unclassified non-coding RNA, 382 nt
Filed under: uncultured fungus
Lineage: Eukaryota; Fungi
Description: sequence contains ITS1
Rfam family: 5.8S ribosomal RNA (bases 1-100)
Source: RNAcentral
GAAGUGCGAUAAGUGUCAUGACUUGCAGAUUCACGAGAGCUGACAAAUUUCUGAAUGCAAAUGGCGGCCGCCUAAAACGGCCAUGUAUUGCAGAGUGUAGUUGUUCAUACUCAUCAUCCCCUACAAUCACACGCUUGGUUGUAGAGCUUGGGAUCUGCGCUUGCGACAUUUCGAUGCGCGAGUGUUAAAAAUCGAGCUCCUAUUGACUCGCAAGGGUCAAUAGGUGACUUCGGAGAACAACAAGUGGGGGGUGCGCGCGUGUCUGCGUCGUCAAAAGCGCAACAAGCACACACCACACCACUUGACGUGACAUCGAAGUUAACCAGAAGCUCAAUCAUUUAGGCAGCCACCUCUGCGAUGCAGGAGAACCCGCUGAACUUAA